This 401-nucleotide ribosomal RNA is filed under the name uncultured bacterium. RNAcentral describes it as "bacterial SSU rRNA". It matches the Rfam family "Bacterial small subunit ribosomal RNA", at positions 109 to 507 of the family's 1533-position model. The record is from RNAcentral.
CGUAACACGUGUGCAACCUGCCUUUAUCAGGAGGAUAGCCUUUCGAAAGGGAAGAUUAAUACUCCAUAAUAUAUUAAUUGGCAUCAAUUGAUAUUGAAAACUCCGGUGGAUAAAGAUGGGCACGCGCAAGAUUAGAUAGUUGGUGAGGUAACGGCUCACCAAGUCGAUGAUCUUUAGGGGGCCUGAGAGGGUGAUCCCCCACACUGGUACUGAGACACGGACCAGACUCCUACGGGAGGCAGCAGUGAGGAAUAUUGGACAAUGGGGUUAGCGCCUGAUCCAGCCAUCCCGCGUGAAGGAUUAAGGACCUAUGGUUUGUAAACUUCUUUUGUACAGGGAUAAACCUACCCUCGUGAGGGUAGCUGAAGGUACUGUACGAAUAAGCACCGGCUAACUCCGUG